RNAcentral lists this ribosomal RNA (498 nucleotides) under uncultured bacterium. Its description in RNAcentral is "partial 16S ribosomal RNA". It matches the Rfam family "Bacterial small subunit ribosomal RNA", at positions 28 to 523 of the family's 1533-position model. The record is from RNAcentral.
GAUGAACGCUAGCUACAGGCUUAACACAUGCAAGUCGAGGGGUAGCAGGGUAGCAAUUCCGCUGACGACCGGCGCACGGGUGAGUAACACGUAUCCAACCUUCCCAUAACUCGGGGAUAGCCUUUCGAAAGAAAGAUUAAUACCCGAUAGUACUUUUUCAAGGCAUCUUGAAAAAGUUAAAGAUUUAUUGGUUAUGGAUGGGGAUGCGUUCCAUUAGAUAGUUGGUGAGGUAACGGCUCACCAAGUCUUCGAUGGAUAGGGGUUCUGAGAGGAAGGUGCCCGACAUUGGUACGGAGACACGGACCAAACUGCUGCGGGAGGCAGCAGUGAGGAAUAUUGGUCAAUGGGCGAGAGCCUGAACCAGCCAAGUAGCGUGAAGGAUGAAGGUCCUAUGGAUUGUAAACUUCUUUUAUAGUAGAAUAAAGUGAUCCACGUGUGGAUUUUUGUAUGUAUACUAUGAAUAAGGAUCGGCUAACUCCGUGCCAGCCGCCGCCGUAA